RNAcentral lists this non-coding RNA (851 nucleotides) under Pamelaescincus gardineri. RNAcentral describes it as "partial 12S ribosomal RNA". It matches the Rfam family "Bacterial small subunit ribosomal RNA". The record is from RNAcentral. Lineage: Eukaryota; Metazoa; Chordata; Lepidosauria; Squamata; Scincidae.
AUAAAGUUUUGGUCCUAAACUUGCCAUUGUUUUUAAUCAAGAUUACACAUGCAAGCCUCCACAUACCAGUGAGAAUGCCCACAAACCCCUAAACAGCAAAAUGGAGCAGGUAUCAGGCCCAACACCCUCUAACUUAGCCAAAAACACCUUGCUACGCCACACCCCCACGGGCACUCAGCAGUGAUUAACAUUAAAAUAUAAGCGAAAGCUCGACUUGGUUAUGAUUUAUAUAGCCGGUAAAUUUCGUGCCAGCCACCGCGGUUAUACGAAAGGCUAAAAACAAUGGCCCACGGCGUAAAGCGUGACUAAAGUAAAAUCAAAAACUUUAAAGGAGAACCCCCACAAAGCCGUAAAACGCCACUACGAGAUGGAACUACACCGACAAAACGCCUUUAAACAAAAGAUUCCCCAACCUCACGAAAACUAAGAAACAAACUGGGAUUAGAUACCCCACUAUGCUUAGCCAUAAACAAAGACAAUGUAAACACAACACUGUUCGCCAGAGAACUACAAGUGAAAAACUCAAAACUCAAAGGACUUGGCGGUGCUCCACAUCACCCUAGAGGAGCCUGUCCUAUAAUCGAUACCCCACGUUAAACCUUACCCCCUUUUGCCAUGCAGCCUAUAUACCGCCGUCGUCAGCCUACCUUAUGAAAGAAAAAUAGUAAGCGAAACAGUCAGUGACUAAAACGUCAGGUCAAGGUGUAGCACACAAGGCGGAAGAGAUGGGCUACAUUUUCUACCCCAGAACAUACGAAUGGCACAAUGAAACAAGUCCCCGAAGGCGGAUUUAGCAGUAAGACAAACAAGCAAAGAUGUCUUAAACCCGCUCUGGAGCGCGCACACACCGC